GAACCAACUUCUGUGGGUCAUUCGUUAAAAAUUGGGAACGAUACCAGAGAAGGAUUAGCAUGGGCCCUGCGCCAAGGAUGACACGCAUAAAUCGAGAAAGUAUCGCAACUUUU
RNAcentral lists this small nuclear RNA (113 nucleotides) under Phytophthora infestans T30-4. Lineage: Eukaryota; Oomycota; Peronosporomycetes; Peronosporales; Peronosporaceae. The record is from RNAcentral.